UCUUUGAAAAACCUUCAUUUCUAAUUUUCAAAUAUGUGCAUGUGCAUAAUAAAACCUUCAUUUCUUUCUUGGUUAUUAUUCUUUUUCAAGAUUUUCUGGAAAUCCCACAGUUUGCGACAUAGCAAAAGUUUAUACAUUUGGAUUGCAGAAUUGAGCAAUCCUAUGAGUCAAAUCGCAAAACUGCUAACGCUAAUUCCUUGAAUAAUCGAAAAAUCAAUAGUUUUUUGUCAAUAAAUAUUAUAGUACCACAUACAAAAAAAAUAAAUUUGGAGACAGAAAUACUUGACAUGGUCACCUUAUACAUGAAUUUCUUAAUACAAUUUGCAUGAAGUUUUAACUAUUAAACACAAUGUCAAUUAUGGGAGAAACUAACCCAAUGAUGUUACCAGUUGCAGUUGCAUUUACUACAUUAAAGGCAUAAUUUGCUAAUAAUGAUAUCCAACGACUCUUUUUAUUCUUAACAGGAUAACCAACAACAGUACCGGUUUGUGCAUCAUUUUCCUCCUUCAUCAUCUUCAAAAUAAUCGGAUCAAAUACACUUGAAAGAAUGCUUCGAAAAUGCUCAAAAUCAUGUUUUUCUGCAGUAUCAUUAACAUCA
This 598-nucleotide long non-coding RNA is filed under the name Trifolium pratense (red clover). Its description in RNAcentral is "long non-coding RNA (TPRA_LNC003943)". The record is from RNAcentral. Lineage: Eukaryota; Viridiplantae; Streptophyta; Magnoliopsida; Fabales; Fabaceae.